Molecule: unclassified non-coding RNA, 230 nt
Filed under: plant metagenome
Description: partial contains small subunit ribosomal RNA, internal transcribed spacer 1, and 5.8S ribosomal RNA
Source: RNAcentral
UCUCCGUAGGUGAACCUGCGGAGGGAUCAUUACAGAGUUCAUGCCCUCCGGGUAGAUCUCCCUCCCCUUGCUAUAACUACUCUCGUUGCUUUGGCCGGCCGCUCGGCCCUGCCCGGCCGCCGGCCCCGGCUGUCGCGUGGCCGCCAGAGACCUCACCAACCCUGAAUGUUAGUGUCGUCCGAGUAACUAAACAAUCGUUAAAACUUUCAACAACGGAUCUCUUGGUUCUG